GAUGAACGCUAGCUACAGGCUUAACACAUGCAAGUCGCGGGGCAGCAUGGGGGUUGCUUGCAAUCCCCGAUGGCGACCGGCGCACGGGUGAGUAACGCGUAUCCAACCUGCCCUUCACCACGGGAUAACCCGGCGAAAGUCGGACUAAUACCGUAUGUUGUCCAUUGACGGCAUCCGAUUUGGACGAAAGGUUUGGCGGUGAAGGAUGGGGAUGCGUCCGAUUAGCUGGACGGCGGGGUGACGGCCCACCGUGGCGACGAUCGGUAGGGGUUCUGAGAGGAAGGUCCCCCACACUGGAACUGAGACACGGACCAGACUCCUACGGGAGGCAGCAGUGAGGAAUAUUAGUCAAUGGGCGUAAGCCUGAACCAGCCGAGUAGCGUGCAGGAUGACGGCCCUAUGGGUUGUAAACUGCUUUUAUGCGGGGAUAAAGUGGCCCACGUGUGGGUUUUUGCAGGUACCGCAUGAAUAAGGACCGGCUAAUUCCGUG
This 490-nucleotide ribosomal RNA is filed under the name uncultured bacterium. RNAcentral's name for it is "partial 16S ribosomal RNA". It matches the Rfam family "Bacterial small subunit ribosomal RNA", at positions 28 to 507 of the family's 1533-position model. The record is from RNAcentral.